AGAAUACGACCCAGGAGAAGAAGAAGGAAAAGAAAAAGAAAAAGAGAAAAGGAAAGGUUUUGAAAAUUGAAAUUGAAUUUGAAAUUCAAAUUUGAUUCAAACUAAAGCAAUCAAAAUAAAUGCACCAGCAUGAAUGGACAAUAAACUCCUAUGAUGAAAGAAUUAAAUUUAAAGAAAGUGAAAAUUAGUAUGCCUAAGAAUUUAAAUGACAUCCUAAUUUGAGCAAAUUUUUG
This 233-nucleotide long non-coding RNA is filed under the name Setaria viridis. RNAcentral describes it as "long non-coding RNA (SVIR_LNC004415)". Lineage: Eukaryota; Viridiplantae; Streptophyta; Magnoliopsida; Poales; Poaceae. The record is from RNAcentral.